UGAGGUGGAAAUGCAGGGCCAGGAGUG
RNAcentral lists this non-coding RNA (27 nucleotides) under Rattus norvegicus (Norway rat). Lineage: Eukaryota; Metazoa; Chordata; Mammalia; Rodentia; Muridae. The record is from RNAcentral.